RNAcentral lists this long non-coding RNA (1426 nucleotides) under Homo sapiens (human). RNAcentral describes it as "HSALNT0049117". The record is from RNAcentral. Lineage: Eukaryota; Metazoa; Chordata; Mammalia; Primates; Hominidae.
AUUCCCAUCUUGCCCAAUUAUGAACAUUCGUGCAGUCCUUGGCUACUGCCCAGAAAGAGCUCCUGCUGGCAGAGCUGCCCCUCCCGCCAGCGGGCGGAGGCCUCACCCCAGCCCAGGAAUCCUUUGGCAAUGAACCUAAUUCCUCUUCCGUUCUUUCCCAUCCCAUAUGCUCUGACCUCUAACGCUGCCUACCCCAAAGCAGCAGGAAGAGAAAUGCCAGGUGCCUUCCUAGACAACCUGAUCCCUCUUUUGUCUCUGGCAUCCCAGGAAGCCAAACCCCUGAAAGAGCAGCCGAGCACGGGCUUCACGGAGAGCAAGUCUGCACGCAGGAAGCAAGCGUCGCGGCAGGGACCCUCAGAGCCCACGUGCAUGCCAGCUUCCUGCCAUCAGGCUUUCUGGGGUGCUCCCUGAAGUCUAGGGAAGGACCAAGAGAAUCCCGCAGAUGCCGUCCAGAAACCCUGUCUAAACCCCAAAUCGCUGGACCCAGAGGACAAUGCUGCCAGAGCCCAGAGGCUGCCUGCCAGCUCCACUGCCGCCCAGAGCGACGUCUGAUUCCCUCCCCUGCGACGGGAACCUUCCCUCCUAGAAUCCUGGGUCUGAACCACAUCAGUGCCUGAGAAGCAAAAAAUCAGAGUCCCCAUCCCAGCCUGAAAGUGUCCGAGGCCCUCCAGACGGGCAGCUACCCUCUGAGGCCACAGAGGGCUGACUGGGGCAGUGGGGCGUUGGCCCGUUCCCGCGAGCUCCUGCCAUGCUCGUGUGCUCACACUCAACACCUAUGCCACCAUCACAGGCAGCCGCAUUUGCUAAAGCAAAUAAAUCUGCUGUUCAGUUCAUUCAAUAACACAACAAUGAAGAAAACCUUUUGAUGUUAAAGCAGAUAAACUCUCAUUUUGCUGUCCCCCCAGUCACUGAAACAAGACGGUAGGGCCCACUGGAAAUGGUCAGGCUGAGGCCCGUUAGCAGGGGACACAUCCAGGCCAGUCAGGCCGCUGGGUCCAGACAGGGUGAGCCCCAGCUGCACGAGGGUCCCAAAGACUCAGGGUCCCUGAAUCGAGAGUCCUCGUAGGCAAAAAAGAAAUGCUUUUCUAGCAGAGCUGUUGUCAUCAUGAAACAAGCUGGGAAACAUCUGACACAGGUGGACGUCCCCACGUAUGUGACGGUGCUGCAGACGGUCGCCCCCAGACCCCGAUACUGGCCUAGCUCUGCCUGAACCCUGGCUCUGCCACAUACAGCUGUGUAGUCUUGCCCCACCUCGCCCCAUCUCAGUGUCCCCAGAUGCAAAGGGGAUGAUGUCCUAGCAGGCGAGGAGUAAUAAGUUGACACAAAGCACCCUGAACAGUACCCGACCCAGUCUUAUUUGAAAUUUCUGCCAAGGUUCUUUUAACCUGCUUUAAUAAAAGUCGUAUUUAACAUUGAAUAAGCCUGC